This 253-nucleotide ribosomal RNA is filed under the name uncultured bacterium. RNAcentral's name for it is "partial 16S ribosomal RNA". It matches the Rfam family "Bacterial small subunit ribosomal RNA", at positions 524 to 776 of the family's 1533-position model. The record is from RNAcentral.
UACGGAGGGUGCAAGCGUUAUCCGGAUUCACUGGGUUUAAAGGGAGCGUAGGUGGGCUGGUAAGUCAGUGGUGAAAUCUCCGAGCUUAACUUGGAAACUGCCAUUGAUACUAUUAGUCUUGAAUAUUGUGGAGGUUAGCGGAAUAUGUCAUGUAGCGGUGAAAUGCUUAGAGAUGACAUAGAACACCAAUUGCGAAGGCAGCUGGCUACACAUAUAUUGACACUGAGGCUCGAAAGCGUGGGGAUCAAACAGG